RNAcentral lists this ribosomal RNA (457 nucleotides) under Periclimenes granulimanus. RNAcentral describes it as "partial 16S ribosomal RNA". It matches the Rfam family "Bacterial large subunit ribosomal RNA", at positions 1927 to 2597 of the family's 2925-position model. The record is from RNAcentral. Lineage: Eukaryota; Metazoa; Arthropoda; Malacostraca; Decapoda; Palaemonidae.
AGGGCCGCAGUAUUCCUGACUGUGCGAAGGUAGCAUAAUCAUUAGUCUUUUAAUUGAAGGCUUGAAUGAAUGGUUGGACGAGAUGAAAGCUGUCUCUACAUUGUUGUAAAAUUUAACUUUUAAGUGAAAAGGCUUAAAUAAUUUAGGGGGACGAUAAGACCCUAUAAAAUUUUAUAUAAGUGAGUUUAUGGAAAAAUUUAGUUUAAAUUAAGAUAGGUGUAUUUAUAUUUUGUUGGGGUGAUAUAAAUAUAAUUUGUAGCUGUUUAGAUAAUAUAAUAUAAGUAAAUAGAUUUUGAUCCUUUUUUAGAGAUUAAAAGAUUAAGUUACUUUAGGGAUAACAGCGUAAUUUCUUUUGAGAGUUCUUAUCGACAAAGAUAGUUGCGACCUCGAUGUUGAAUUAAAAUUUUAAUUGGGUGUAGCAGCUUAAUUGGUAGGUCUGUUCGACCUUUAAAAUUUU